This 253-nucleotide ribosomal RNA is filed under the name uncultured bacterium. RNAcentral describes it as "partial 16S ribosomal RNA". It matches the Rfam family "Bacterial small subunit ribosomal RNA", at positions 524 to 776 of the family's 1533-position model. The record is from RNAcentral.
UACGUAGGUGGCAAGCGUUGUCCGGAAUUAUUGGGCGUAAAGCGCGCGCAGGCGGUCCUUUAAGUCUGAUGUGAAAGCCCACGGCUCAACCGUGGAGGGUCAUUGGAAACUGGGGGGACUUGAGUGCAGAAGAGGAAAGCGGAAUUCCACGUGUAGCGGUGAAAUGCGUAGAGAUGUGGAGGAACACCAGUGGCGAAGGCGCUUUCUGGUCUGUAACUGACGCUGAGGCGCGAAAGCGUGGGGAGCGAACAGG